CGGCUUUCCAUAGAAAUCAGCGGCAUCACAUCAGCCGGAAUACUUUUUUUAAACUGCGUCGGUGGCAAACAAGCAUACGGCCCGCCUGAUGGUAAGCAGUCUCCGUAGCCUAUGUACGCCUGCAACUCCAGAGGAGCUACAUGCGCGUUGCCAACCCUAACACUCCGCACUCGAUGAGCUCUGGCAACCUUACUCACCGGCAGGAACACAACA
Molecule: long non-coding RNA, 213 nt
Organism: Cydia strobilella
Lineage: Eukaryota; Metazoa; Arthropoda; Insecta; Lepidoptera; Tortricidae
Exons: 2
Source: RefSeq, a predicted model, not a curated record